GGUAUGCGCAGUAGACAAUGGGGUCAUGUCGGACCUGCUGUCGAAGCAUCUUUCCAUCUUCUCCAUAAAGAACGUUCUCUCCCUCCACGUCCUCCUUGACUACUUGGGCACCAAGAAGCUCCACCAGAUCACCAACGACACUGCUCUCUCAGCCACCAUGUAUCAGGCCACCGGUUCUGCUUCUGGAUCCUCUGGGUUCGUUAAUAUUACAGAUCUCAAAGGCGGCAAGGUU
Telopea speciosissima is the source of this 232-nucleotide long non-coding RNA. RefSeq lists it as uncharacterized. The transcript is spliced from 3 exons. The record is from RefSeq and is a predicted model, not a curated record. Lineage: Eukaryota; Viridiplantae; Streptophyta; Magnoliopsida; Proteales; Proteaceae.